Molecule: ribosomal RNA, 449 nt
Filed under: uncultured bacterium
Lineage: Bacteria
Description: partial 16S ribosomal RNA
Rfam family: Bacterial small subunit ribosomal RNA
Source: RNAcentral
AACGAACGCUGGCGGCAUGCCUAACACAUGCAAGUCGAACGAACCCUUCGGGGUUAGUGGCGCACGGGUGCGUAACGCGUGGGAAUCUGCCCUUUGCUUCGGAAUAACAGUUAGAAAUGACUGCUAAUACCGGAUGAUGUCUUCGGACCAAAGAUUUAUCGGCAAAGGAUGAGCCCGCGUAGGAUUAGGUAGUUGGUGGGGUAAAGGCCUACCAAGCCGACGAUCCUUAGCUGGUCUGAGAGGAUGAUCAGCCACACUGGGACUGAGACACGGCCCAGACUCCUACGGGAGGCAGCAGUGGGGAAUAUUGGACAAUGGGCGCAAGCCUGAUCCAGCAAUGCGGCGUGAGUGAUGAAGGCCUUAGGGUCGUAAAGCUCUUUUACCCGGGAUGAUAAUGACAGUACCGGGAGAAUAAGCCCCGGCUAACUCCGUGCCAGCCGCCGCAGUAA